CAAGUCGAGCGCGUCUUCGGACGAGCGGCGGACGGCUGAGUAACACGUUAGUAGCUACCCCCUACUCAGGGAUAACCAUUGGAAACGAUGGCUAAUACCGGAUGGUCCCGAAAGGGUAAAGAUUUUUCGGUAGGGGAGGCGCUUGCGGCCUAUCAGCUUGUUGGUGAGGUAAUAGCUCACCAAGGCUAUGACGGGUAACUGGUCUGAGAGGAUGAUCAGUCAGAGGGAAACUGAGACACGGUUCCCACUCC
This 251-nucleotide ribosomal RNA is filed under the name uncultured bacterium. RNAcentral's name for it is "partial 16S ribosomal RNA". It matches the Rfam family "Bacterial small subunit ribosomal RNA", at positions 58 to 339 of the family's 1533-position model. The record is from RNAcentral.